UAGUGACAAAGUAAAUAUCCUCUCCAAGCUGGCAUGAAGAGGGUCUGAAAGCUAUCUUCAGUCUCUUUGUUCCAGACAAAAAUCAAGGCGAAUAUUGUGAUAUGCCCAGAUUCUUUGCUUUCAAACAUUUUGCUUAAUAAAAUUGUGAGAAAUAUGCCCACCUGUCCAAACCCAAAGAAUGGACUUAGAGGCAUGAAGAACAGUGAAGGUGAGACUUUUAAUAACGUUCUGGCAAGAUCAGUUGUCUGGAAGACAUGCACACCUGGGCAAUUACAACAGCAGCAAGGAGAGCUCAAGCAAAGUGGACAUGAUCAGAGUCCACAGUUACCAUGAUCCUGAGACAAGCUCAUAAAAGCAAGCUGCAUGAGCAGGAACCCAAGAAGUGACAGGCACCAGCCACCACUAUUGCUGCCAUCACCACAGGGAAUUCCAACAAAGCAGAACUAAUGGUUUCUUGCUUCAUCCCACCUUCUAAUCUAACAAAAAGCCCACUGUCAAAGGAGUUGGAGAAACACAGUUUGUAGGCUCCCAUCUCCAGUGGUAGAGAAGACAUAGAAAAAUGAUUGUAGAGCCAAGAGAUAAUAGACACAAUGUAGCAGCCACAUGUCCUGGCUUAAGAAUCCACUUCCCUUGCCUCCCUUCUCACCUCCCUCCAGGUAUCCAUCAACAAAGAGCAAGACGGAGGACACACACACACUGGUUUUUAUUUUCAUCAUUAUCUACCUGCAUAGUCAUGUCUACUUGUGAGAAAUAGAAAUCCUUCUAAGUAUGUACUGGAAAUAAGUAAGGAAAAGUUUAAAUAAAUAGGAGAGAUGCUGUUAAAGAGUAAACCUUUAAAAACAAGUAGAGAAGGCUAGUAAAAAUUAUUAGAAAAAUAAUGGUCUCCUCCAUUCCCAAUCUGUUUACCAACACAAGUAAAACACCAGUUUGCUUAUUUUAUAAAUUUAUGUUCUCUUUUUCAUUUUUCUAGGUCAUCAUAUCUGCUUAGCUUCCACCAUUAAAAAUUUUCAUAGAAAAUAAGUUGCAUUUUUCCAACCCAACUAUCUCUGAUAAUAAAAUGUGACAAAGUUAAACCUAAUAAGCAGCUAUAUAGGUUGUUCAAGUAUGCUUGAUUGUACAUAUUGAGACAGAAAAAUAAGAUGCAUUUGUUUCAAAAGAAGAUUAAAUGGCUAAUGAUUAGAGCAUAAUAACAACUGAAAAACUCAGUAG
This 1209-nucleotide long non-coding RNA is filed under the name Homo sapiens (human). RNAcentral's name for it is "HSALNT0088323". Lineage: Eukaryota; Metazoa; Chordata; Mammalia; Primates; Hominidae. The record is from RNAcentral.